CCACUUCAAGUUUAAACUCCUUUAGCAUUAGUCAAACAGUCAUGGCGGCUACAAAAUGCAACAUUACAGGUGACAUUCUUACCCGGACUCGAGCAUUAGCGACGGAAAAAGCCUCCGAGAAGCAGCUAGCUUCAGAAAAAGCUAGCGCCAUUAGCCAGGAGCAAGAGGACCCGUCCCCCCCGAGGCCCAACGAAUGCCAACCUCGCACUCUGUCGAAGACAUCCUUUCUGAGCUGAGAUCCCAACGUACAGAACUCAACAUUAAAUUAGAUGCCAUUAACUCUCAGCUCAGUGCGAUAAGGGGCAAGGUGACAAUCCUGGAAAAUGCUUUGCCUGACAUCAACAACAAGAUAACCAUAAACGCGGGGCGCCUGGACGAGGCAGAGGGGCGAAUCCUAUCCAUGGAAAACUUAUUGACAGACGCCAUGGAAACAAUAGCAUGUGCUAAAAAGAAAAUAGAGCAAUUGGAAAACAGGGGGUGAAGGAAUGAUUGUGUUCUACUAAAUCUGGGUGAAAAAGAAGAGGGAAACAUGCCACUGAUCCGCUACCUGCAAAACAAACUUCCCGAGUGGCUCCACCUGUCCACCGACAGGCCCAUAGAAGAGAGAGAGCUCACCACCAGCAGCCAGACAACCACCAGCAGCCAGACAACCACCGCGCCCAAUCACCAUACGUUUCCUAAGAUUCACCGACAAGGAUCAAGUCCUACAGGCGGCGAAAAUCAACACCAUUACAGUGGGAAACGCCAAACUCACUUUACACCAGGACCUGUCAGGUGAAGAAAUACUCCAUUGACCGAGGCAUCUUUAGGGGAUUCAAAUACCCAAACGAGCUCAGGAUUCUUCACCAAGGAGCCUUGCGACACUUCAAAACUCCCGAAGAGGCAAAACUUUUUUGAAAAACAAUCCUGGUCAAUGAGAAAUGGACCACUGACUAAAUGCGAUUACUGUUAUAACUAAAGGAGAUGUUUCAUUCCUCAAAGAAGCCCAGCAGCCGACACUGCUGCAACGUCUUCAUCAAUACUGAUGUGGAUCCGAGAGGGGUGGGUGACUGGCAUCUAGUGAGGAGAUGAGAAAGGUGAGGAGAGGCGAGAAGAAGAGAGGAGAGGAAACGAAAGGAGGAGAGGAGAGGAGAGGAGAGGA
This 1141-nucleotide long non-coding RNA is filed under the name Salmo salar (Atlantic salmon). Its description in RNAcentral is "lncRNA (ENSSSAG00000113636.1)". Lineage: Eukaryota; Metazoa; Chordata; Actinopteri; Salmoniformes; Salmonidae. The record is from RNAcentral.